GCUAGUAAUUCUUCUUUGCAAAAUCAUUAAUUAUCCUAGCUCUAAUUACUAUAAUUAAUGGCUUUGCAAAGAUAGAUUUACUAGCUAAAUCU
This is a non-coding RNA of Populus trichocarpa (black cottonwood), 92 nucleotides long. The record is from Rfam. Lineage: Eukaryota; Viridiplantae; Streptophyta; Magnoliopsida; Malpighiales; Salicaceae.